GGGCACGACGCAAGAUUAUGUAAUUGGUAAGGUAGCGGCCUACCAGACCGAUGAUGCUUAGGGGGCCUGAGAGGGUGAUCCCCCACACUGGUACUGAGACACGGACCAGACUCCUACAGGAGGCAGCAGAUGAGGAAUAUUGGACUAUGGGUAGCAGCCUGAUCCAGCCAUCCCGCGUGAACGACUACGGGUUCUAUGGAUUGUAACUUCUUUUAUAUAGGAUAAGACCUACUCGUCGUGAGUAGUAGCUGAAGUACUAUAUGAAUAAGCACCGGCUAACUCCGUGCCAGCAGCCGCGGUAAUACGGAGGGUGCAAGCGUAUCCGGAUUUAUGGGUGUAAAGGGUCCGUAAGCGGGCUUGUAAGUCAGAUUGGUGAAAUCCGCGCGAGCUCAACCUGUGCGAACUGCCUAUUGAUACUGCAAGUCUUGAGUAACAUUAGAAGUGGGCUGGAAUAACGUAGUGUAGCGGUGAAAUGCAUAGAUAUUACGUAAGAAUCACCAGAUGGCGAAGGCAGGUCACUAUGUUAAUAACUGACGCUGAUGUGACGAAAGCGUGGGUAGCGAACAGGAUUAGAUACCCUGGUAGUCCACGCCCGUAAACGAUGUAUUACUCGGUAUUGUUGGGCUAUAUAGUGUCAUGAGCACUAAGACGAGAAGUGAUAUAGUAAUCCACCCUGGGGAGUACUGUUCGCAAGAAUGAAUACUCAAAGGAAUUGACGCGGGGSCCCGCACAAGCGGUGGAGCAUGUGGUUUAAUUCGAUGAUACGCGAGCGAACACCUUACCAAAGGCAUUAACAUGGGAAUUGACAGGCUUAUGACAUAGGGCUUAUCUUCGGACAAUUUUCAAGGUGCUGCAUGGUGUGUCGUCAGCUCGUGCCGUGAGGUGUUAGGUUAAGUCCUGCAACGAGCGCAACCCCUGUCACUAGUUGCUAACAUUAAAGUUGAGGACUCUAGUGUAGAACUGCCCUACGCAAGUAGAGGAGGAAG
RNAcentral lists this ribosomal RNA (986 nucleotides) under Soonwooa buanensis. Its description in RNAcentral is "bacterial SSU rRNA". It matches the Rfam family "Bacterial small subunit ribosomal RNA", at positions 226 to 1172 of the family's 1533-position model. Lineage: Bacteria; Pseudomonadati; Bacteroidota; Flavobacteriia; Flavobacteriales; Weeksellaceae. The record is from RNAcentral.